GUCUGCAUGGAGCCGACCUUGAAAUACCACCCUUUAAUGUUUGAUGUUCUAACGUGGACCCGUGAUCCGGGUUGCGGACAGUGUCUGGUGGGUAGUUUGACUGGGGCGGUCUCCUCCUAAAGAGUAACGGAGGAGCACGAAGGUUGGCUAAUCCUGGUCGGACAUCAGGAGGUUAGUGCAAUGGCAUAAGCCAGCUUGACUGCGAGCGUGACGGCGCGAGCAGGUGCGAAAGCAGGUCAUAGUGAUCCGGUGGUUCUGAAUGGAAGGGCCAUCGCUCAACGGAUAAAAGGUACUCCGGGGAUAACAGGCUGAUACCGCCCAAGAGUUCAUAUCGACGGCGGUGUUUGGCACCUCGAUGUCGGCUCAUCACAUCCUGGGGCUGAAGUAGGUCCCAAGGGUAUGGCUGUUCGCCAUUUAAAGUGGUACGCGAGCUGGGUUUAGAACGUCGUGAGACAGUUCGGUCCCUAUCUGCCGUGGGCGCUGGAGAACUGAGGGGGGCUGCUCCUAGUACGAGAGGACCGGAGUGGACGCAUCACUGGUGUUCGGGUUGUCAUGCCAAUGGCACUGCCCGGUAGCUAAAUGCGGAAGAGAUAAGUGCUGAAAGCAUCUAAGCACGAAACUUGCCCCGAGAUGAGUUCUCCCUGAGACUUAAAGUCUCCUGAAGGAACGUUGAAGACGACGACGUUGAUAGGCCGGGUGUGUAAGCGCAGCGAUGCGUUGAGCUAACCGGUACUAAUGAACCGUGAGGCUUAACCUUACAACGCCGAAG
RNAcentral lists this ribosomal RNA (769 nucleotides) under Salmonella enterica. Its description in RNAcentral is "partial 23S ribosomal RNA". It matches the Rfam family "Bacterial large subunit ribosomal RNA", at positions 2174 to 2925 of the family's 2925-position model. The record is from RNAcentral. Lineage: Bacteria; Pseudomonadati; Pseudomonadota; Gammaproteobacteria; Enterobacterales; Enterobacteriaceae.